ACUGAACCCACAUGGAAAUGAAGUAAUGACGAAAGUGAUUUUUUGCUCAUUGACUUCUGCACCUCACAAUGGUCUCUCUGUACGUGCUUAAUCUCACUAGUGUUGCUUUUUAGCUAUAUAGCUGCUUCCUCAACUUUCAAGUAUUCACUCACCGAUCGACUCUCAUCAUUCCUCUCUGUAAACUAAACCAAACCAAGGUUAAAGUGCAGACUGCAGACUAAUAGCAGCUAGCUUUUUAGUUUCCCUCUGAUUUGAGAGUGUCCCUGCAUCUUACAUCAACCUUCUUUUGGUUUUACUUCGGAUUAUAUGCCAAAUCAUAACCACAUAGAAACAAAAAGAAGAACCAGUUUACUUCAUAACAAAAACAUCGAGUUAUAAAAGUAACAGACAUGGAUUUUCUUGUUGCAAUUGGUACUGGAAUUGUUGGAAAGAUUGCUGAGUUCACAGUUGCACCAGUUAUACGUCAAGUGGGUUAUGUAAUCCACUACAACAAGAACCUCAAAAAACUAGAGAGUCAAGUAGAUGACUUGGGUGAUGCCAGAGAAAGCAUGAAGCGUGCUGUUGAAAGAGAGGAAAGAAUGGGUAGAAAAAUUGAAGCAGGUGUCCAGAACUGGCUGACUAAAGUGGAUGAGAUGACUAAAGAAGCAGACGAUUUCUUUGUUAGGGUUUGCAUUAAUGUUGACUUAGUUAGGGUUUGCAUUAAUGUUGACUUAGUGAUAAGAUAGGUUUAUCUUUAAUGCUGUUGAAUAAACCCUAGUUGUUAGGGGUUAGUUAGGGUUUUGACUUCUUCCUGUAAUCGUGUACCACGCAUCAGAGUUGUACGGUGCAUGGGCUGCUAUUUCGCUUUCA
Long non-coding RNA from Rosa rugosa (rugosa rose), 849 nucleotides. RefSeq lists it as uncharacterized. The record is from RefSeq and is a predicted model, not a curated record. NCBI's taxonomy places the organism in Eukaryota, Viridiplantae, Streptophyta, Magnoliopsida, Rosales, Rosaceae. The transcript is spliced from 3 exons.